GACGAACGCUGGCGGCGUGCUUAACACAUGCAAGUCGAACGAAGUGGCGAACGGGUGAGUAACGCGUAAUCAACCUGCCCUUCAGAGGGGGACAACAGUUGGAAACGACUGCUAAUACCGCAUACUGAAGGAGGGGAUUGCGUGUGAUUAGCUAGUUGGAGGGGUAACGGCCCACCAAGGCGAUGAUCAGUAGCCGGUCUGGGGGGAUGAACGAGCAAAUUGGGACUGGGAAACGGCCCAGACUCCUGAGGGAGGCAGGCGGGGGGAAUCUUCCGAAAUGGGCGAAAGUCUGACGGAUCAACGCCGCGGGAGGGAUGACGGCCUUCGGGUUGUAAAGCUCUGUUAAUCGGGACGCGGUACCGGAAUAGAAAGCCACGGCUAACUACGUGCCAGCAGCCGCGGUAAUAC
Molecule: ribosomal RNA, 408 nt
Filed under: uncultured bacterium
Lineage: Bacteria
Description: partial 16S ribosomal RNA
Rfam family: Bacterial small subunit ribosomal RNA
Source: RNAcentral